Molecule: long non-coding RNA, 2258 nt
Filed under: Oncorhynchus kisutch (coho salmon)
Lineage: Eukaryota; Metazoa; Chordata; Actinopteri; Salmoniformes; Salmonidae
Description: lncRNA (ENSOKIG00005046620.1)
Source: RNAcentral
CACUAAUUGCAGAGAAUACUGACUGAAGAUGUUCUUCCCUACGAGGCCCAUGAGACUGUGUAGGGAUGUGAUUUGAAUAGGACUGUGACUGAACGAGUGGGAUGUUGUUCUUUAUCUAUUUAUGUAUUUUGUUUUGAGGUCGUUGUUCCCCCUCCCCUUUUCCGUAAAGGAAACGUAUUUUCUUCUACAGUUUACUAACCUUACAGUAGGUGGCGGCAGACGCCUUAUAUUUGUGUAUAUGUCAGUAUACCAGAGAACAAGAUGACGCUGAUGCGCCGUCGUAGUUGGGAACAGGAAGUUCCGGGUCGAAACGACAGAACUGUGUUGUUUUGUCGAUAGUGGUUGUGUCCAUUUCAAAUGUAUCAUUGUAGACCGACUCAGAUUAAGUCUGAGGCCGUUGACGUCAACAGUGAGGACAACAGUGAGGACAAACCCAGCCUGCCACUCUCCUCCGUCCAAACCUACAGUUACUGGGUCCUGAUUAUGACAGUGGAGUCCAGUUUGCACUGCAGGAUCCAGAGAUGGCAUCAGUGAAGCUGGAAGACUGCAGUCAGACACUGGAGCUGAAUGUCAACAUUAAAGAUGAAGAAGAGGAGGAGAAGAUUAGGACAGCUGUUAGUCAUGGUAAGAGCUGGUUCUAUCUAUAAGUUAUCUUCAUAUAUUAGACCUCCAUAAGUUAUGACCAGUCUGUCUAUUGCUAGGUUGAAUUCUGUAAUUCUGACAUCACACAUCCCUGAACAACUCAAGACUUCACAGCGAAGCAAAACAUUUAAAAACUUGUAACGCCUGCCUUUGCCCACACAUUGUCUCAAGAACGUUGAACAUGUUUAAUACCCUCAAUCACCAAGUUAGGCAUACCUCAUUUCAAAAUAGGCCAUGGCAUCAUCACUGUCAAUAUUGAAUUAUAAUUUGUUUGCUGCACAGAAUAUCAGAUCUCAACAACGAUUGGAGAAGUGUUGAACAUAACCAGUAGACUACCACAUCCUGAUGAUUUAUAUCUGAUACAUAUAUAUUUAAUAUGUCAAGUUGUAGAAACAUCUCAAGGAUGAUCAAUGGAAACAGGAUGCAUCUGAACUGAAUUUUGAGUCUAUCUUGUUUUUCAGUUUUUUUAAAUUCAAAAUUUCUAAACCUGUUUUAGCUUUGUCAUUAUGGGGUAUUGUGUGUAGUCUGCAGAGGAUAUGUUUUUAUUUAAUUUUAGAAUAAGGCUGUAACAUAUCAAUGUGGAAAAAGUCAAGGGGUCUGAAUACUUUCCGAGGGCACUGUCAGACCCCUUCCCAUUUCUCCCAUUUUGGUACGUUACAGCCUUCUUCUAAAAUUGAUGUUUUUCCUCGUCAAUCUACACAAAAUACCCCAUAAUGACAAAGCCAAAACAGGUUUUUAGAAAUUCUUGCAAAUGUAAAAAACUAAAACAAUGAUAAGAAUUGCUUAUUUACGUGAGUUUUCAGACCCUUUGCUAUGAGAUGAUCCUUGAGAUGUUUCUACAACUUGCAGUCCACCUGUGGUAAAUUCAAUUGAUUGGACAUGAUUUAGACAGGCACACACCUGUCUAUGUAAGGUCCCACAGUUGACAGUGGAUGUCAAAUUAAAAACCAAGUCAUGAGGUGGAAGGAUUUGUCCGUCGAGCUUCGGGACAGGAUUGUGUCGGCACAGAAAUGGGGACCGAUACCAAAAUCUUUCUGCAGCAUUGAAGGUCCCCAAGAACACAGAGGCCUCCAUCAUUCUUCAAUGGAAGAAGUUUGGAACCACCAAGACUCUUCCUAGAGCUGGCCACCCGGCCAAUCUGAGCAAUCGGGGGAGAAGGGCCUUGGUCAGGGAGGUGGCCAAGAACCCGAUGGUCACUCCGACAGAGCUCCAGAGUUCCUCUAUGGAGAUGAGAGAAUCUUCCAGAAGGACAACCAUCUCUGCAGGACUCCACUAAUCAUGCCUUUAUGGUAGAGUGCCCAGACAGAAGCCACUCAUCAGUAAAAGGCACAGGACAGUCCGCCUGGAGUUUGUCAAAUUGCACCUAAAGGAUUCUGACCAUGAGAAACAAGAUUCUCUGGUCCGAUGAAACCAAGAUUGAACUCUUUGGCCUGAAUGCCAAGCGUCAUGUCUGGAGCAAACCUGGCACCAUCCCUAUGGCGAAGCAUGGUGGUGGCAGCAGCAUGCUGUGGGGAUAUUUUCAGUGGCAGGGACUGUGUGACUAGUCAGGAUCAAGGGACAGAUGAACGUAGCAAAGUAUAGAGAGAUCCUUUAUGAAAACCAACUUGAGAGCUGUC